UUGCCAAGUUUUUGCCUGGAACUGAAAGGAGAAGAAAAAGGAUUCUGGACAUGUGCACAGAAGACACAUAGACCGGAAAUUCUAUCUUUAGCUUGGGAAUCUACGUUCAUUACUUCUCUCUCUUGGCUGGCACAUGGGGAACUUCGAGGUUGGAAGGCUCAUGAGGUUCUGGAAACUUCUCUGGUUGCCAUAGCAAAUACCCGGCCGAAGGAACGCUAAAGAGGAAGACUGUGGUUCAGUUCAGGCUUUCGGAGGCUGCAACUCGUCAUGGCCGAGGAAUCACGGCAGACAUCUUGGAAGCUCGGAGCUGCGGCAUCAGGACCUUGAGGCUGCUUGUUCACAUCUUGGUGGACCAGAAAACAGAGGAGUUGGAGAUAAGACUGAGCUGUGAACUGUAAGACUACACUUCCCACCAGCAACCUGCUCCCUUCAGUGAGGUCCCAGGUCCUAAAGGGUCCGCAGCCUCCAAGUAUGGUGGCAAGUAUGGUUCCGAGUGGGGAACGGGAAUUCUGAGCGGGAACACAUGAGCCUGCAGGGACUAUUUUGCACUCAAACGGCCGAAACAUGAAGCUUUGCCCAUCUGGAGACUGUAGCUAAUCAAUUCCCACUAAGGGUAGGUAUGUACUCUCUAGAUAGGUCUGGCCUGAAACCACAAAGGAGAAGGAAGAGAGAGAAAGGAAGAGAUAGGAGGAAGUGUGACAUCUGACUAACUGAUUGUGAGGACAACAGUGAACCAAUGAGGAUCAUUUGUCACAGGGGCACAGACAGGGUCACAGGGAUACAUGACUUGGGUAGCUCUAGCUAGACUCCCAUGUCCUGGACUCCGUCUCCAUACUGAGAUGUUAUAUGAUGUGUGACACGUUACAUAUUCAGUUUCAGCAUAAAAUGGUACUGUGCUCUAAGAGGAGUCUGCCAGGUGCUUUAACUCCAGGUCCUUAAUCCCAGUACCUAAGGCUCCAAGGCAUACAAUCUUUGUAUAUGCCAUUCAUAAACAACAAGAUCAUCCCUGGUGUCACUGGGGUUUUCUUUACUGUAGGAUGAAGAGAAUGAUACAGAACAAGAUACGUAAUUUAUGAGGGGAAAAUAGCAAGUGAGGUAGAUGUGGGGGUUGGGUCCUAAACCAGUUGAUUCUGAAGCCAUUAUAUCCUCGGAGUAUUCAUUAGUCUGGCAAAUAUUCAUCCAGUAUGUAAUUUUAAGGAUCUCUACUAGCUGGGCACUGCUCUGGAAGCUGUAUGUACCCUGGUGAACUAAUGGAGCAAAAACUCUUGUCUUCUGGACGUUUGUACAACAGCCACUUGGUGUCAAUUCCUGAAGCUUCAGACCCCAAGAGUUGACUGUGUUCCAAACACAAUGCAAAUAGAAAUUUCCAGAAAUAAACAGUUAGCAGGGUUUUAAUUGCAUAGCAUUCUGGAAUUCGUGGAGAAAUCUCACGCUGUCGUGAUGGCCUCUUGUCACCUGAGCAAUGGUUCCCCUUCCUGUCCGCUGCAGUCACACUGUGCGCACUACUUCCCCAGCCAUCAUUUGGCUGACAGAUCAAGCAGCCUCCUUUUUGUUUAAGAGUGCACCCCAAACACCAAAGAAUAGUGACAGUGGCAGUUCAGGUAUGCCAAAGGAGUUACUACCGCGUCAUCUCACAGAAACAGAAGGGUGAGCAUAGGACAGUAGGAUAUUUUGUUCCUAUAACCUUUAUUAUGGUGUAUUGCUAAAAUGGCUUAUUUAAAUGUUACUUCUUUUUUUACUGUGACUACUUUGUAAAUUAAACUUUCUCAUAGGCAUUUCUGAGGGUGUGCCUUUGAAGGGAGUUUUUUUGGGUGGGGGAGACUCUGGCCUCUUUCUCCUUUGCUUCUGUCAGUGAGAUAGGCAGUUUACUUUACCAUGUGCAUCCUGUUGUAACAAUUUGGCUCCCACUAGAGGCCUAAAGGCAAAGGAUUGGCCUCCUCCUGAAUUGGAAACUUGGAAACUGUAAGUCCAAAUAAACCUGUUUUCGUAAGUUAAUGUCUUCAAGUACUUUACUAUGGUGACAGAAAUCUGACUAACACGGGUCCCAAUACAUUGUUAGAGAAACUCGAGGCUAAAAACUUUCUUUGGGGAAGGGGGCUGGAUGGGAGGAGAUGUUUAUUCUUUGAUUUCGAGGAUGUGAGAAGACUGCGAUUUCCAAGGACAGCUGAGAUAUUGCCUAUGCAACGUCAGUCAAUAUCAUCUGCAAACUGGCUUCUGCUCUUAAAAAAACAAGUAAGUAAGGAGCAAUGGCCAAAAAGAAGUAUAAUCAGGGCUGCUCAGACAGGUCAGUUAAGGUCAAGCCUGAUGACCUGAGUUCAAUACCCUGACCCAUAUUUAUGAGAAAUCUGACUCUAGGGCUUGGUCUCUGACCUCUGAUCACUAUAUGCUCACAUUAUCAGAGGAGCUGUGGACCAAGGGAGUUGGAGUGCGUUUCCUAUCCUUGUAAGAAAAUACUGUUUCAGGGUAAAUUAUAAAGAAAAGGAGUGCCUUUCUUGGUUCUGCAGGUUGGGAAAUCCAAGAGUGUGGAGCUAGCUGCCAAGUGUCUUUCAUGACACGGCCGGAGAGAAUGCUAACCACUGCUCUGAAUGGUCUCACAAAGCCACCAACACCACCUCACCUUGUGACCUCACCUUACCCUGAUUACUUCCCAAAGGCCUCACGUCCUGUUACCAUUAACAAGUGAACUUGCUUCCGCACACAAACUUGUUGAGGAGUCCUUCAAACCAUAGCAGGAAUUCACUAUGCCACCUACAGGGGCCCACGAGGGGAGCUGCAGACAGGUUACCUUGCGCUUCUGAAACGUGUUCCUCCUUCCCUUCUCUUCCCUUCUCCCAGCCACCCUAUUAAGAAUAAUAAGCAACCGUAAAAGGCAAAACCAGGCACGCACACACACAUUAAUUUGCACACUCUUCUUUCCAGUACCCAAGGAAAUGAACAAAUCUACUUUCAAGGGGGAAAAUUAAGGGUCAACCUUUUUAUCUUUCCCUUAAAACAUGCCAGGCUGCCCUUUUGAGCAAGGUAAAUACUCAGCAGUGGGAGGAAGCAGGCUAGUACUUACUGGCUGUGGGACAUAGAAUGACUGUGCCUGGGCUCUACAACCCCUGUGUGUGCCCUUGGACAAGCCAUUUAGCCUCCAAGGGCAUCAGCAUCCCUUUUACAACCCACAGACCAGUUGCAUUUGUUCAUUACGUUCAUACAUAUGAAGCUUCUAGAACAGACUUCAUCACCUAACCUUAGAAAGGGCAACAUGUGAGCCAUGAAUCCAGCUCUCAAAGCCCUCACUGGAUAAAUCGGUCGCUGGCUUCCUCUCCGAAGUGAAGCUUCCUCUUUCUCAUCAUAGCUCCCAUUCUGCUGACUUGGGCUAAGAAGUGUGCUGACAACAAUCUUUGGAACUUCCUAGUGAGCCUGUUUCCAAUCCUCCAUUAAUUAAGUCACAUUUUUAGCUUCAGAAUUAACAGAAAGGAUUAGGUUUUGCCUUAACCCCAAGUCACUGAGCAGCAUAGCCAUGAGAAAUAUGUGCCCCACUCUUGAAGUAAAUUACAACUAGGGUCUGAGGCCCUUCACCCUCAAUAACAUCCCACAAUAGAACAGGGUUCUUACUGCCUACAGUUUCUUUUGGAUAUGUUUCUGCUGCUAGUGUCCCCGACGUUAGGUCCCUUUCCUUGCUCUGAGAUGGGGGACAUCAGAGACAUUGCAUGUACUGGAUACCCAUUCAUCCAUCGGCAGCUGAUCAUUUAUCUGUCCAAACGAUAAACGCCUUAUGCUUUAGCCUCCUAGGCAGUGUGGCUUUGGUACUUGGUGUUUGGGAAAAGAAACACUGGUCCUUUCCAGGUGAGACUUUCAUUCUGUGACUGUCCUUUGCUAUUGUUCUAGGACCCCCCCCCCCCAAAAAAAAUGAAUAUUAGGUGAAUACGUGAGUAAGUGAAGAAAAUGUUCACUUUCUGUUAAUUCUGAAGCUAAAUCUUAGACUUAGCAUGUUAGAGAGGAUAGUUUUCCCUGUUUUUCUUUGGGAGAAAUAACCCCAGGGUAUUUCCUGCAGUGUCUCUGAGUGAAACCCCUCUACCUGACUCCCGCCCGCAUGGACACACCCGGGUGAAGAGGGAAGGCAGCAACUGGCUCAAACCUUCACUCGCGAUUUCUGUCUACUGCUCCCUCUUUCUGGUUUUGAAACAAAAUGAUAGUGGUAGAAUCUGGAGUUGGGGAUGUCACUCAGUUGGGACAGUGUCUUGCCUAGCACGCACAAGGCCCUGGGUUCCAUUUCCAGCACCGAAUAAAUCAGAUGUAGUUAUAUAGUUCCAUUUGUACAUAAAGGCAGGAGGGUCAGAAGCAUAGGUCAUCAUUGGCUAGGCAGAGAGUCAGAAAGUAUCCUGAGCUCUUACAAGAGACUCUAUAUCCAAAUCAAUCAAUCAAUCAAUCAAUCAAUCAGCAAAUAGAAUCAUUUUGUUUGACCUGCCUAUAGGUAUUCAAACACAUUAAAUUUUUAUAUUAGUCAGAACAGAUGGUAUUCUCAAAAUACAAGUGAGAGUUCACAGUCCAGAAAUGAAAUCCCAGUUUCCAUUUUUCCAAGCCUGUGUUGAAUGAACUGUAGUGGGGAAAGCAAUACCCAGAUGCCACUAUACCUCCUCCCUAGGGUGGGGCUGCCCUCCCAGAAUCUCUGGUUAGCUGACAUGUGUUCCACUCCUCUGAUAAGACAGUCUCCAGUAUACUGAUAUGUGCAGGCAUCAACAGCCAGUUUUACAGGUCGUUAAUCGUCUGUCAGCUGAGGGAGGGUCACGUGACAUCUCAGACCUCUCUGGAAGCUUGAAAUAUUGGAGCCUGACAGCUUAGAAUAUUACAUCCUGGCAGGUUCUUCUCAGUUCCUCAGUAGGAAAACUUGCCACAUGACUGCCUCUUUGAGUGACACUUGCCACCCAGCCAAGUGCUAUCACGGAGUGGACAUCACACAUGGAUGGAUGGAACUGAACCAGGGGACAGAAGUGAGGAGGACGGCGAGGAGACAUGACUUCAAACCCCAGAACUGCCACCAGCCAGGAGUACGGGCUGAGGCAGUUUAUCUCUGUGGGCAUUCCUUCCCUCACCUGGGAAAUGGGCGCAGCAUCUCAGCUAGAGGGUCACCACCACAACCAAAGGUAAGGCAGUUUGCACACAUAUAGGUACACGCGUGUGCUCUCCUGUUUAUGUGCUCCUGCCAGAGCAAAAAGGGGGACACGACCCAAGUGUUUGUUGAUGGGCAAAGGGUUGGCGAAGUGCACUGCUUCCAGUGAAACCAUUCAGUGUUGACAAGAAGGCAGCUCUGACCCAUGCCAUGACAUGCAGGAGUGACGGCGUGGUGCUCAACGGAAUAAAAGAGUCCCAAAAGGGCUCCAUGGACACACAGUACCUAAAUCCAAAUCCAUGGGUGGGGAGUAGACUGUGAGCAGACCGUGGGGCUGGGAGGGGAGAGCUGUUUUCCCGUGGAAAGGGUACAGGGCUUUAGUUCAGGCUGUGGGGAUUUAGAGAUGGACUGAGGUGUUGGUCUCCUACGCCAUUGAACAUUGAACAACACAAUGGCUAGAGAAGAAAUGCAUGAAUAUUUAUACACACACAUGAAGGCUGCAGUGCCCUUAACAGCUCCUUGCGCUUGGUCAGCUGCUGGGGAGGUGGUUGCUAAGAGCAUCAUGACAAGACGUUAGAACUUUCACAGUGCAGUCUGCUCUGGGCAAAGCUGGGAUAAUUUUUAUUACCCUCUGACGCUGCCUUUGUUCCAUUGGUCCGAGGACUCCUGGUGUGUUUUCCUUCCCACGGUGAAGUCCAAAUGAAACUGUUACAUAUUUAGUAUAUAAGCAAGAGACACUCGCACGAACAUUAAUAGAGCGAUGAUAAAUCCAAACCUUCCCCAAUUUGCCCUUUGGAUGCAUGCUUGCCUUCUUCUCACACAGGCUUUGUCUAGGUGGGACAACAGGAGGCAACACUGAUCUUUCAUGGAGAUGUUUCCUGGCCUUGACUUGGAGCCUAUGCAUCUCCUCUGACUACUGAGCCCUGUUCCCCAUAGGGGUCCCCCCUUCCCCCGCCCCUCUCAAAUGAGAAAACAGAUUUUCUUCCAUCAGGAAAACAUGCAGUCGCACCCCGAUCCUCCCUGGAAAUGGUCACUACGAAAGCAAAAUGCGUCUAAUGCUAACAGAGCCCCGAUUCAUUGCUCUCAGAGCCUGUAGCAUUUUAUACUCCUCCCUGAGCAUAAUCAGGGGAGUGAUUCUGAACCUUGUUAAUCAGAAAGGGCCCUUUAAAAAUGUCAUGCUGUCAAUAUAAAACUUUGCUAAAUUGCAUUAUAAAUGCCAGAUUCAGUCAACUAACACAUUUAACACCGUUUCUUAAGUACAGUUUAGAUUUUAUCCGUGCCAGGGAGAAUGAGAAAAAUACCUCAGGAGAGCCGGAGCCCGUGGAUUCAUUCUGCUAAGCCCACUUCCCCCAGAGAGGGAUUAUAAAUAUUUUAUUCCAAAGCCAAGCCAUACGUCUAGCGAUAUUGUCAAUACGGUGCCAUCCCCUGAAGUUGCUGGCUUUAGAAUGGGAUGAUUCGUACAUGUGAGAGGUUAGCAGGGGUAAGUAAGCAUCUCAGACUUGUUUUUCAAUUAACUGGCGAGUCCUUGUGCUUCUGGUUUACUCCAGAGAGGUUAGGUUUCUCGUGAGGUGAGAGUUAAGCAUCAUAAGCACCU
Non-coding RNA from Rattus norvegicus (Norway rat), 6689 nucleotides. Lineage: Eukaryota; Metazoa; Chordata; Mammalia; Rodentia; Muridae. The record is from RefSeq and is a predicted model, not a curated record.